This is an RNA transcript of Amborella trichopoda, 901 nucleotides long. RefSeq lists it as uncharacterized. The record is from RefSeq and is a predicted model, not a curated record. Lineage: Eukaryota; Viridiplantae; Streptophyta; Magnoliopsida; Amborellales; Amborellaceae.
AUGUUGACCGAGAUGGUAGACAGAUUCGACGACAUGGCCGACUACAUGACCACCAUCUCAUGCACAACUGGCAAUCAACCACUCAACAGAAAGGAGCACAACAUGCUUUCUUGGCCUUCCAAUCCCUAGUCCAGCCUCGCAAGGCCUCAUGGCGUGAGAUUAAAAACAUAGAAAGGGUCGAGGAUGAACCCCUGCUUGGCCAUCAUUAUGGAUUAUCUCUCACGAAUCGAGUCCGAGAUCGUUUCCAUCUGUGAGGAUGUCCACCAUCUUCUCGACUCCUACCUCAUUCCAUCUGAAGACUCUGCCGAAGCCAGGGUCUUCCACUGGAAGAUGAAGGCCGACUACUUUCGGUACCUCGCUGAGAUCAAGACCGACGAACAAAAGCUAUUUGGGGCCUACAAAGCCCACUUGAACUAUGAAGGGGGCCAUGAGAAUCGCUAAAGUGGAUCUGAGACCUGCAAACCCCACCAGGCUAGUGGCUGCUCUCAAUUUUGCGGUAUUCAAAGCGGAUAUCCUCAACUCCCCCGAAGACGCCUAUGCUUUGGCUGUAGAGGUGCUUUGGCUGUAGAGUCGUUCGAAGAGGGCUUAGAGGGGUUGGAUGAGCAUGAAGAUGACCUCGAUGAGAGAGGGUCCAUCAUGUACUCCAUUUCCAAUAAUAUAGAACUCUGGACCUCAGACUAAUGUCCAGGAGGUUGAAGGGGAUCAAUAUAUCGAAGAGGCCCAAAGGGGGGAAAAGUAGUCGAGUUUGGUCUCGGAUUCUCUUGCCCCCGUCGGCGAAGAAAACGAAGACGAGCAGCCUUCCAACCCACUAUAUCUUACAAGAUGUUAGUGCAAAACUUUGUUGUUAUAUUUUGGGGGCUGUUUAGGCAUUUAUGCAAAAUUUUGAGCUAACAGAGCACCA